Molecule: unclassified non-coding RNA, 342 nt
Filed under: soil metagenome
Description: partial contains 5.8S ribosomal RNA, internal transcribed spacer 2, and large subunit ribosomal RNA
Rfam family: 5.8S ribosomal RNA (bases 1-120)
Source: RNAcentral
GAUGAAGAACGCAGCGAAAUGCGAUAAGUAAUGUGAAUUGCAGAAUUCAGUGAAUCAUCGAAUCUUUGAACGCACAUUGCGCCCGCCAGCACUCUGGCGGGCAUGCCUGUUCGAGCGUCAUUUCAACCAUCAAGCCCCCAGGGGCUUGUGCUGGGGCCCUGCGGCUGCCCGCAGGUCCUGAAAACCAGUGGCGGGCUCGCUAGUCACACCGAGCGCAGUAGCACAUCUCGCUCAGGGCGUGCGGCGGGCUCCUGCCGUGAAACCCCCCACUGUAACCCCAAAGGUUGACCUCGGAUCAGGUAGGAAUACCCGCUGAACUUAAGCAUAUCAAUAAGCGGAGGA